GCAUGCAAGUUGAGCGAAGCUUUUUGGUAGUUUACUACUAGAAAUGACUGAGCGGCGAACGGGUGAGUAACGCGUGAGCAAUCUACCUUAGUUACUGGGAUAGCCCGAGGAAACUCGGAUUAAUACCGGAUAUUCUUAUUUUUUCACAUGAAGUUUUAAGGAAAGGUCAGCCGAACUAAGAUGAGCUCGCGUUCUAUCAGCUAGUUGGUGGGGUAAAAGCCUACCAAGGCUACGACGGAUAGCUGGUCUGAGAGGACGAUCAGCCACACUGGGACUGAGACACGGCCCAGACUCCUACGGGAGGCUGCAGCAGGGAAUAUUGUGCAAUGAGCGAAAGCUUGACACAGCGACAUCGCGUGUGGGAUGACGGUUCUAGGAUUGUAAACCACUUUCAGGAGGGAAGAAAAUGACGGUACCUCCACAAGAAGACCCGGCCAACUAUGUGCCAGCAGCCGCGGUAAUACAUAGGGGUCAAGCGUUGUCCGGAUUUAUUGGGCGUAAAGAGCUCGUAGGCGGUUCAACAAGUCGGUCGUAAAAGUUUAGGGCUCAACCCUAAAAUGUCGAUCGAUACUGUUGUGACUAGGAUACGGUAGAGGUGAAUGGAAUUCCGAGUGUAGCGGUGAAAUGCGUAGAUAUUCGGAGGAACACCAAUUGCGAAGGCAGUUCACUGGACCGUGAUCGACGCUGAGGAGCGAAAGCUAGGGGAGCAAACAGGAUUAGAUACCCUGGUAGUCCUAGCUGUAAACGAUGGAUACUAGAUGUAGAACUGGAUUGACGGUUUCUGUAUCGUAGCUAACGCGUUAAGUAUCCCGCCUGGGGAGUACGGUCGCAAGACUAAAACUCAAAGGAAUUGACGGGACCCCGCACAAGCGGCGGAGCAUGCGGCUUA
This 889-nucleotide ribosomal RNA is filed under the name uncultured marine bacterium. RNAcentral's name for it is "bacterial SSU rRNA". It matches the Rfam family "Bacterial small subunit ribosomal RNA", at positions 53 to 948 of the family's 1533-position model. The record is from RNAcentral.